GCGUAUUUAUUAAAUUUAAAUAUCUAUUAUUUUAUUCAUAUUUCUUAGUUCUCAUGCAUUCUAAUAUCGCUUCGUUACCUUCGGGUGUGGGCCAGCACGUGCUUACCCUCAUGUUUGUGAGAAUAUCAGGGUCAGGCAUGUCACCAUUUUUUUAAAAGGAAAACUAAUGAAAAUGACUUGAAAACUUUGAGUUUUAACAAUAAGGACAAAGUAAAGGGUAAAGUGAAUAGUACCAUGAUUGACUUUUUAUUGUAAAAAUGUGAUUUUUCAUUAAAGUAAACAGUACCGGGAGCUUUUCAUUAAAGUUCCUUUUUUUUAAUUAUUCAUCCGAUUUGGUAACCGAAAAAACAGUAAGAAUUGAAAGUUGAAAGUUUUACAUAAAACUCUACUCAUUUUAUUAGGUUUUAAGAGGUAUAUCUUGAUUGA
Molecule: long non-coding RNA, 426 nt
Filed under: Malus domestica (apple)
Lineage: Eukaryota; Viridiplantae; Streptophyta; Magnoliopsida; Rosales; Rosaceae
Description: long non-coding RNA (MDOM_LNC007431)
Source: RNAcentral